RNAcentral lists this ribosomal RNA (553 nucleotides) under uncultured bacterium. RNAcentral's name for it is "partial 16S ribosomal RNA". It matches the Rfam family "Bacterial small subunit ribosomal RNA", at positions 355 to 900 of the family's 1533-position model. The record is from RNAcentral.
UAGGGAAUCUUCCACAAUGGACGCAAGUCUGAUGGAGCAACGCCGCGUGAGUGAAGAAGGUUUUCGGACCGUAAAGCUCUGUUGUUGGUGAAGAAGGAUAGAGGUAGUAACUGGCCUUUAUUUGACGGUAAUCAACCAGAAAGUCACGGCUAACUACGUGCCAGCAGCCGCGGUAAUACGUAGGUGGCAAGCGUUGUCCGGAUUUAUUGGGCGUAAAGCGAGCGCAGGCGGAAGAAUAAGUCUGAUGUGAAAGCCCUCGGCUUAACCGAGGAAUUGCAUCGGAAACUGUUUUCUUGAGUGCAGAAGAGGAGAGUAGAACUCCAUGUGUAGCGGUGGAAUGCGUAGAUAUAUGGAAGAAUACCAGUGGCGAAGGCGGCUCUCUGGUCUGCAACUGACGCUGAGGCUCGAAAGCAUGGGUAGCGAACAGGAUUAGAUACCCUGGUAGUCCAUGCGUAAACGAUGAGUGCUAAGUGUUGGGAGGCUUCCGCCUCUCAGUGCUGCAGCUAACGCAUUAAGCACUCCGCCUGGGGGAGUACGACCGCAAGGUUGAAAC